UACAGAGGUCCCAAGCGUUGUUCGGAUUCAUUGGGCGUAAAGGGUGCGUAGGCGGCGCGGUAAGUCGGGUGUGAAAUCUCGGGGCUUAACUCCGAAACUGCAUUCGAUACUGCCGUGCUUGAGGAUUGCAGAGGAGACUGGAAUUCCCGGUGUAGCGGUGAAAUGUGUAGAGAUCGGGAGGAACACCGGUGGCGAAGGCGGGUCUCUGGGCCGAUACUGACGCUGAGGAGCGAAAGCGUGGGGAGCGAACAGG
RNAcentral lists this ribosomal RNA (253 nucleotides) under uncultured bacterium. RNAcentral's name for it is "partial 16S ribosomal RNA". It matches the Rfam family "Bacterial small subunit ribosomal RNA", at positions 524 to 776 of the family's 1533-position model. The record is from RNAcentral.